This 361-nucleotide ribosomal RNA is filed under the name uncultured bacterium. Its description in RNAcentral is "bacterial SSU rRNA". It matches the Rfam family "Bacterial small subunit ribosomal RNA", at positions 29 to 410 of the family's 1533-position model. The record is from RNAcentral.
AACGAACGCUGGCGGCAGGCCUAACACAUGCAAGUCGAACGAUAAGCCACCUUCGGGUGGUGGACAGUGGCAGACGGGUGAGUAACGCGUGGGAACGUGCCUUUCGGGUUCGGAAUAACCCAGGGAAACUUGGGCUAAUACCGGAUACGCCCUUCGGGGAAGAUCAUGCGAAGAUCGGCCCGCGUCGGAUUAGCUAGUUGGUGGGGUAAGUGGCUCACCAAGGCGACGAUCCGUAGCUGGUCNGAGAGGAUGACCAGCCACACUGGGACUGAGACACGGCCCAGACUCCUACGGGAGGCAGCAGGUGGGGAAUAUUGGACAAUGGGCGAAAGCCUGAUCCAGCCAUGCCGCGUGGGUGAAG